Long non-coding RNA from Helicoverpa armigera (cotton bollworm), 434 nucleotides. RefSeq lists it as uncharacterized. The record is from RefSeq and is a predicted model, not a curated record. The transcript is spliced from 2 exons. Lineage: Eukaryota; Metazoa; Arthropoda; Insecta; Lepidoptera; Noctuidae.
AUAAAGUCGUCCUGGGAAGGUCAAUGCUAUUGCAAUUGCAGGUUGCAUAGUACAAGAGUAUAAAAAUGGAAUCGGCCCUCCGUAGGGCAUCAUUCACCCCUGUGAACGAGACACACCCAGCAACAUGUACAAACUGUUAUCUUUCCUCGUGAUCCUGGCAGUUGCGCUCGCCGCGCCCGCGCCGGAGCCCGGGGCGGCCAUCUUGACUCCCGCCGUGUACCGAGCCCCGUUGACGUACGCUCCAGCACUGGGCUAUGCGGCCCUCCCCGCCGCGGGCUUGCCUCUCCAAUACAGCGCCCCUUACCUCGCGUCCUACCCUGCAGCACCCAUCGCCUACAGCAAGUACUACUAGGCUGGACGAGUAAGCAGGUUCUCAAGUAUUGGCAGUGAUCCGUUUGGUACCUAAGUAAUGCGCAAUAAAAUCGUUCCGCCUA